RNAcentral lists this ribosomal RNA (1887 nucleotides) under Campylobacter jejuni. RNAcentral's name for it is "partial 23S ribosomal RNA". It matches the Rfam family "Bacterial large subunit ribosomal RNA", at positions 1 to 1750 of the family's 2925-position model. Lineage: Bacteria; Pseudomonadati; Campylobacterota; Epsilonproteobacteria; Campylobacterales; Campylobacteraceae. The record is from RNAcentral.
UAAAAAAAGGUAAGCUACUAAGAGCGAAUGGUGGAUGCCUUGACUGGUAAAGGCGAUGAAGGACGUACUAGACUGCGAUAAGCUACGGGGAGCUGUCAAGAAGCUUUGAUCCGUAGAUUUCCGAAUGGGGCAACCCAAUGUAUAGAGAUAUACAUUACCUAUAUAGGAGCGAACGAGGGGAAUUGAAACAUCUUAGUACCCUCAGGAAAAGAAAUCAAUAGAGAUUGCGUCAGUAGCGGCGAGCGAAAGCGCAAGAGGGCAAACCCAGUGCUUGCACUGGGGGUUGUAGGACUGCAAUGUGCAAGAGCUGAGUUUAGCAGAACAUUCUGGAAAGUAUAGCCAUAGAGGGUGAUAGUCCCGUAUGCGAAAAACAAAGCUUAGCUAGCAGUAUCCUGAGUAGGGCGGGACACGAGGAAUCCUGUCUGAAUCCGGGUCGACCACGAUCCAACCCUAAAUACUAAUACCAGAUCGAUAGUGCACAAGUACCGUGAGGGAAAGGUGAAAAGAACUGAGGUGAUCAGAGUGAAAUAGAACCUGAAACCAUUUGCUUACAAUCAUUCAGAGCACUAUGUAGCAAUACAGUGUGAUGGACUGCCUUUUGCAUAAUGAGCCUGCGAGUUGUGGUGUCUGGCAAGGUUAAGCAAACGCGAAGCCGUAGCGAAAGCGAGUCUGAAUAGGGCGCUUAGUCAGAUGCUGCAGACCCGAAACGAAGUGAUCUAUCCAUGAGCAAGUUGAAGCUAGUGUAAGAACUAGUGGAGGACUGAACCCAUAGGCGUUGAAAAGCCCCGGGAUGACUUGUGGAUAGGGGUGAAAGGCCAAUCAAACUUCGUGAUAGCUGGUUCUCUCCGAAAUAUAUUUAGGUAUAGCGUUGUGUCGUAAUAUAAGGGGGUAGAGCACUGAAUGGGCUAGGGCAUACACCAAUGUACCAAACCCUAUCAAACUCCGAAUACCUUAUAUGUAAUCACAGCAGUCAGGCGGCGAGUGAUAAAAUCCGUCGUCAAGAGGGAAACAACCCAGACUACCAGCUAAGGUCCCUAAAUCUUACUUAAGUGGAAAACGAUGUGAAGUUACUUAAACAACCAGGAGGUUGGCUUAGAAGCAGCCAUCCUUUAAAGAAAGCGUAAUAGCUCACUGGUCUAGUGAUUUUGCGCGGAAAAUAUAACGGGGCUAAAGUAAGUACCGAAGCUGUAGACUUGCACACAACUUAGAUUAUUUAAGUUUAGAAUAUGAGAAACUAAGUUAUAUGUUUAGUUAUAUUUUUACUGAUUUUUAUAGAGUAAAGAUAGAAAUAAAACUUAGUAAAAUCAGUAAAAAUAUUCUUAGGCUAAAGUUAAGUAGUUUAAGUUGUGUGCAAGUGGUAGGAGAGCGUUCUAUUUGCGUCGAAGGUAUACCGGUAAGGAGUGCUGGAGCGAAUAGAAGUGAGCAUGCAGGCAUGAGUAGCGAUAAUUAAUGUGAGAAUCAUUAACGCCGUAAACCCAAGGUUUCCUACGCGAUGCUCGUCAUCGUAGGGUUAGUCGGGUCCUAAGUCGAGUCCGAAAGGGGUAGACGAUGGCAAAUUGGUUAAUAUUCCAAUACCAACAUUAGUGUGCGAUGGAAGGACGCUUAGGGCUAAGGGGGCUAGCGGAUGGAAGUGCUAGUCUAAGGUUGUAGGAGGUUAUACAGGCAAAUCCGUAUAACAAUACUCCGAGAACUGAAAGGCUUUUUGAAGUCUUCGGAUGGAUAGAAGAACCCCUGAUGCCGUCGAGCCAAGAAAAGUUUCUAAGUUUAGCUAAUGUUGCCCGUACCGUAAACCGACACAGGUGGGUGGGAUGAGUAUUCUAAGGCGCGUGGAAGAACUCUCUUUAAGGAACUCUGCAAAAUAGCACCGUAUCUUCGGUAUAAGGUGUG